This 1136-nucleotide long non-coding RNA is filed under the name Felis catus (domestic cat). RNAcentral describes it as "lncRNA (ENSFCAG00000052296.1)". Lineage: Eukaryota; Metazoa; Chordata; Mammalia; Carnivora; Felidae. The record is from RNAcentral.
AAGGGAGUGGGGAGGGAGGGAGAGCUGGAGGGAGCAAAGGAGAGGUGGGGGGAGGGAAGGAGGGAGGAAGGAAGGAAGGAGGGAGGAAGGAAGGAAGGAGGAGGGAAGGAGGAAGGAAGGAAGGAAGGAAGGAGGAGGAAGGAAGAAGGAAGGAGGAAGGAAGAAGGAAGGAGGGAGGGAGGGAAGGAGGAAGGAGGAAGGAGGAGGAAGGAAGGAGGGAGGGAGGAAGGAAGGAGGGAGGGAGGAAGGAAGAAGGAAGGAAGGAAGGAAGGAAGGAGGGAGGGAGGGAGGGAGGGAGGGAGGAAGGAAGGAAGAAGGAAGGAAGGAGGGAGGAAGGAAGGAAGGACGGAAGGAAGGAAGAGAAGGAAGGAAGGAGAAGGAAGGAAGGAGGAAGGAAGGAGGGAGGGAGGGAGGGAGAAGGAAGGAGGAGGGAGGGAGGGAGGAAGGAAGGACGGAAGGAAGGAAGGAAGAAGGAAGGAGGGAGGGAGGAGGAAGGAAGGAGGAGGAAGGAAGGAAGAAGGAAGGAGGGAGGGAGGGAGGAAGGAAGGAAGGAGGAGGAAGGAAGGAAGGAGGAAGGAAGGAAGAAGGAAGGAGGGAGGGAGGGAGGAAGGAAGGAAGGACGGAAGGAGGGAGGAAGGAAGGACGGAAGGAAGGAAGGAAGGAAGGACGGAAGGAAGGAAGAAGGAAGGAGGGAGGGAGGGAGGAAGGAAGGACGGAAGGAAGGAAGGAAGGAAGGAGGAAGGAAGAAGGAAGGAAGGACGGAAGGAAGGAAGGAAGGAAGGAAGGAGGGAGGAAGGAAGGAGGAAGGAAGGAAGAAGGAAGGAAGGAGGAGGAAGGAAGGAAGAAAGGGAGGGAAGAAGGAAGGAGGGAGGGAGGGAGGAAGGAAGGAAGGAGGGAGGGAAGGAGGAAGGAAGGAAGGAGGAAGGAGGAAGGAGGAAGGAGGAAGGAGGAAGGAGGAAGGAAGAAGGAAGGAGGGAGGGAGGGAAGAAGGAAGGAAGGAGGAGGGAGGGAGGGAGGGAGGAAGGAAGAAGGAAGGAGGAGGAAGGAAGGAAGGAAGGAGGGAGGGAGGGAAGGGCAGGAAGUUGUCUGGUUUCCCUCCAUCCACCUUUUUCCACUCUGGACGUGUUUGAGGCCCA